UUCAGUUCGGCUGGACAAGUGACAGGUGCUGCAUGGCUGUCGUCAGCUCGUGUCCGUGAGAUGUUGGGUUAAGUCCCGCAACGAGCGCAACCCUCAUCCCUAGUUGCCAUCAUUCAGUUGGGCACUCUAAGGAAACUGCCGGUGAUAAGCCGGAGGAAGGUGGGGAUGACGUCAAGUCCUCAUGGCCCUUACGCGCUGGGCUACACACGUGCUACAAUGGCAACUACAGUGGGCAGCAACCGGGCGACCGGUAGCUAAUCUCCAAAAGUUGUCUCAGUUCGGAUUGUUCUCUGCAACUCGAGAGCAUGAAGGCGGAAUCGCUAGUAAUCGUGAAUCAGAAUGUCACGGUGAAUACGUUCCCGGGCCUU
RNAcentral lists this ribosomal RNA (368 nucleotides) under uncultured Sphingopyxis sp. RNAcentral's name for it is "bacterial SSU rRNA". It matches the Rfam family "Bacterial small subunit ribosomal RNA", at positions 1014 to 1382 of the family's 1533-position model. Lineage: Bacteria; Pseudomonadati; Pseudomonadota; Alphaproteobacteria; Sphingomonadales; Sphingopyxidaceae. The record is from RNAcentral.